GGAGUUAGCCGGUGCUUCUUCUGUGAGUGAUGUCCUUCCUGCCGGCUAUUAACCCGCAGGCCUUCUUCCUCACUGAAAGUGCUUUACAACCCGAAGGCCUUCUUCACACACGCGGCAUGGCUGGAUCAGGGUUGCCCCCAUUGUCCAAUAUUCCCCACUGCUGCCUCCCGUAGGAGUCUGGGCCGUGUCUCAGUCCCAGUGUGGCUGAUCAUCCUCUCAGACCAGCUACGGAUCGUCGCCUUGGUGAGCCGUUACCUCACCAACCAGCUAAUCCGACAUAGGCUCAUCCGAUAGCGCGAGGCCCGAAGGUCCCCCGCUUUCCCCCGUAGGGCGUAUGCGGUAUUAGCCUGGGUUUCCCCCAGGUUAUCCCCCACUACCGGGCAGAUUCCUAUGCAUUACUCACCCGUCCGCCGCUCGCCACCAGGGAGCAAGCUCCCCGUGCUGCCGCUCGACUUGCAUGUGUAGCGUCGCCGCCACGCGUCAUCUGAACCAACGAUACAACUACUGA
This 508-nucleotide ribosomal RNA is filed under the name uncultured bacterium. RNAcentral's name for it is "partial 16S ribosomal RNA". The record is from RNAcentral.